ACCAGGUUUGCCCCGCAAUGUUACAUGAUCUCUUAAGUGGUAUCAUAUAAGUUAAACUGAGAUUGUACAAAGUUUAAAAUACUAAAUGAAACUAAAACGGCAUAAAAGUCGUCUAUAACCAUUUUCAUUUCAGGUAAAACAACUAAAUAGUAAUAAACUGAACUUUUAAGUAAUCAGAGAGAGGCGGCAGAGCCGACCAUUUCAAGGCAAAGGAAUAUAAUAACAAUUUAUAUUCACUAACAAAGUUAAAUAAAAAUCAAUAUCAUAAACAUAAACUUAAUAAACUUAAUAUUAAAAGAGAAUAAAUAGAUCAAAAUAGUAAUUAUAAAGUAGACAAAGUUAAAUAAAAUUGACGUGGAUAAAGGAGAGUAUAUGUAAUCAUAAAAUUAAAGUUCAAUAUACAUAAUUAAAACUGGUUAGACAUACUUAUAAAAAUAUAGAGUAGAUUUAAUUAAAAAGAGUAGAUAUAGUUAUCACCUUGCUAAUUUAUCUUUUCCCCUUUUCAUUUUUCUUCUUCUCUUUGUCAUGUCCUCUUCUAUUUUCAUUCGUUCCAUUCUAUAUUUUGUCCCCUUCAUACAGUUUAUAUCUCUUUUGCUUCUCCUAAGUCCUAACUCAUCUCCGUCUCCAAAAUCAUGCAUUAUUUCUUUCUUUC
RNAcentral lists this long non-coding RNA (652 nucleotides) under Lotus japonicus. Its description in RNAcentral is "long non-coding RNA (LJAP_LNC002218)". The record is from RNAcentral. Lineage: Eukaryota; Viridiplantae; Streptophyta; Magnoliopsida; Fabales; Fabaceae.